This 763-nucleotide ribosomal RNA is filed under the name Bacillus sp. CH448a. RNAcentral's name for it is "bacterial SSU rRNA". It matches the Rfam family "Bacterial small subunit ribosomal RNA", at positions 57 to 802 of the family's 1533-position model. Lineage: Bacteria; Bacillati; Bacillota; Bacilli; Caryophanales; Bacillaceae. The record is from RNAcentral.
GCAAGUCGAGCGGACCUUUUAAAGCUUGCUUUUGAAAGGUCAGCGGCGGACGGGUGAGUAACACGUGGGCAACCUGCCUGUAAGACUGGGAUAACUUCGGGAAACCGGAGCUAAUACCGGAUAAUAUAAGGAACCUCCUGGUUCUUUAUUGAAAGAUGGUUUCGGCUAUCACUUACAGAUGGGCCCGCGGCGCAUUAGCUAGUUGGUGAGGUAAUGGCUCACCAAGGCGACGAUGCGUAGCCGACCUGAGAGGGUGAUCGGCCACACUGGGACUGAGACACGGCCCAGACUCCUACGGGAGGCAGCAGUAGGGAAUCUUCCACAAUGGACGAAAGUCUGAUGGAGCAACGCCGCGUGAGCGAUGAAGGCCUUCGGGUCGUAAAGCUCUGUUGUUAGGGAAGAACAAGUGCGAGAGUAACUGCUCGCACCUUGACGGUACCUAACCAGAAAGCCACGGCUAACUACGUGCCAGCAGCCGCGGUAAUACGUAGGUGGCAAGCGUUGUCCGGAAUUAUUGGGCGUAAAGCGCGCGCAGGUGGUCCUUUAAGUCUGAUGUGAAAGCCCACGGCUCAACCGUGGAGGGUCAUUGGAAACUGGGGGACUUGAGUGCAGAAGAGGAAAGUGGAAUUCCAAGUGUAGCGGUGAAAUGCGUAGAGAUUUGGAGGAACACCAGUGGCGAAGGCGACUUUCUGGUCUGUAACUGACACUGAGGCGCGAAAGCGUGGGGAGCAAACAGGAUUAGAUACCCUGGUAGUCCACGCCG